GCUGGGCGUGGUGGCGGGCACCUGUAAUCCCAGCUACUCAGGAGGCUGAGGCAGGAGAAUUGCUUGAACCCAGGAGGUGGAGGUUGCAGUGAGCUGAGAUCAUGCCAUUGCACUCCAGCCUGGGUGACAGAGCGAGACUCUGUCUCAA
Molecule: non-coding RNA, 148 nt
Filed under: Homo sapiens (human)
Lineage: Eukaryota; Metazoa; Chordata; Mammalia; Primates; Hominidae
Source: Rfam by way of RNAcentral